CCUACGGGAGGCAGCAGUGAGGAAUAUUGGUCAAUGGACGAGAGUCUGAACCAGCCAAGUAGCGUGAAGGAUGACUGCCAUAUGGGUUGUAAACUUCUUUUAUAUGGGAAUAAAAUGUUCCACGUGUGGGAUUUUGUAUGUACCAUAUGAAUAAGGAUCGGCUAACUCCGUGCCAGCAGCCGCGGUAAUACGGAGGAUCCGAGCGUUAUCCGGAUUUAUUGGGUUUAAAGGGAGCGUAGGUGGAUUGUUAAGUCAGUUGUGAAAGUUUGCGGCUCAACCGUAAAAUUGCAGUUGAAACUGGCAGUCUUGAGUACAGUAGAGGUGGGCGGAAUUCGUGGUGUAGCGGUGAAAUGCUUAGAUAUCACGAAGAACUCCGAUUGCGAAGGCAGUUCACUGGACUGCAACUGACACUGAGGCUCGAAAGUGUGGGUAUCAAACAGGAUUAGAUACCCGAGUAGUC
RNAcentral lists this ribosomal RNA (460 nucleotides) under uncultured bacterium. Its description in RNAcentral is "partial 16S ribosomal RNA". It matches the Rfam family "Bacterial small subunit ribosomal RNA", at positions 338 to 795 of the family's 1533-position model. The record is from RNAcentral.